Molecule: RNA transcript, 1840 nt
Organism: Panicum hallii
Lineage: Eukaryota; Viridiplantae; Streptophyta; Magnoliopsida; Poales; Poaceae
Gene name: cytochrome P450 709B2-like
Exons: 4
Source: RefSeq, a predicted model, not a curated record
AGCCUCUCACCAUUCCACAAUCCACACAAGCAAACACGAGCAGAUUCUCUCAAGAGACUCGGACGAACCAGACAGACCCAGCAAAGCAAUCAAGCAGCCAGCCGCAGAGAAGAUCGAUUUCAUCCUAAAAGUGAUCGAGUGAGUGACCUCCCGCGCGGCGCCGCUAUGGGCGGCCUGGCAUGGAUGGUGGCCGCGGCGGCCGCGGCGGUGGCGGCGUCGUGGGCGUUCAACGCGCUGGUGCACCUCGUCUGGCGCCCCUACGCCGUCGCCCGGAGGAUGGCCGCGCAGGGCGUGCGCGGGCCGGCCUACAGGUUCUUCUCCGGGAACCUCGGCGAGAUGAGGCGGCUCCGCGCCGAGGCCGCCGGCGCCACGCUCGCCGUCGGCGACCACGACUUCGUCCCCCUGGUGCAGCCCUACCACCGCAAGUGGAUCUCGCUCUACGGCCCGUGGUUCCUGUACUGGAACGGGGCGACGCCGAACGUGUGCGUGGCGGACGUGAACGUCGUCAGGCAGGUGCUCUCCGACCGCACGGGGCUCUACCCCAAGAACCUCAUGAACCCGCACAUCACCCGCCUGCUCGGCAAGGGGCUCGUCCUCACUGACGGCGACGACUGGAAGCGCCACCGCAAGGUCGUGCACCCGGCCUUCAACAUGGACAAGCUCAAGAUGAUGACGGCGACCAUGUCCGACUGCGCUCGGUCGAUGAUGUCCGACUGGGAGGCGCAGCUGGCAAAGGCGCCCGGCGGCGUGGAGAUCGAGGUGAGCAGCCGGUUCGAGGAGCUCACCGCCGACGUGAUCUCGCACACGGCGUUCGGGAGCAGCUACAAGGAGGGAAGGCAGGUCUUCCUGGGGCAGAGGGAGCUCCAGUUCCUCGCCUUCUCCACGGCCUUCAAUGUCCAGAUCCCGGCGUUCAGGUACCUCCCAACGGAGAAGAACCUCAGGAUAUGGAAGCUGGACAAGCAGGUGAGGGGCAUGCUCAUGGACAUCAUCAAGAGCCGGCUCGCCACCAAGGACACCGCCGGCUACGGGAACGACCUGCUCGGGCUGAUGCUGGAGGCGUGCGCGCCUGAGCACGGCGGCGAGAGCCCGGUGCUGAGCAUGGACGAGAUCAUCGACGAGUGCAAGACCUUCUUCUUCGCGGGGCACGACACCACCUCGCACCUCCUCACCUGGGCCUCGUUUCUGCUGAGCACGCACACGGACUGGCAGGAGAAGCUCCGGGAGGAGGUGCGGCGGGAGUGCGGCGACCAGGAGCCCAACGGCGACAAGCUCAACAAGCUCAAGCUGGUGAACAUGUUCCUCCUGGAGACCCUGCGGCUAUACGGCCCGGUGUCCAUUAUCCAGAGGAAGGCGAGCUCGGACCUCGACCUUGGCGGCAUCCGGGUGCCCGAGGGCACCAUCUUGACGAUCCCAAUUGCGACGAUCCACCGUGACAAGGAGGUCUGGGGCGAGGACGCCGGCGAGUUCAGGCCCGAGAGGUUCGAGAAUGGGGUGACAAGGGCGGCCAAGCACCCCAACGCGCUGCUGUCCUUCUCCAGCGGGCCGAGGUCGUGCAUUGGGCAGAACUUCGCCAUGAUCGAGGCCAAGGCCGUGGUCGCCAUGAUCCUGCAGAAGUUCAAGCUCGAGCUGUCACCCAAGUACGUGCACGCGCCCAUGGAUGUGAUCACACUGCGGCCCAGGCAUGGGCUCCCCAUGAUCCUCAAGCGUCUGGAGGCGUAAGAGUCGCGUGCUACACAUGCAUGCUGCAUGUCUGUCAGUUCGAAAAAUAUUUUUUAAUUCAUUUUCAUUUGAUGUGAUAUGUUAAUUGUAAAAGUUUUGAAAUUUGUCUUGCAUCACACAA